UACGGAGGAUGCGAGCGUUAUCCGGAUUUACUGGGUGUAAAGGGAGCGUAGGCGGUGCAGCAAGUCAGAAGUGAAAGCCCGGGGCCCAACCCCGGGACUGCUUUGGAAACUGUGUAACUGGAGUACAGGAGGGGCAGGCGGAAUUCCUGGUGUAGCGGUGAAAUGCGUAGAUAUCAGGAGGAACACCGGCGGCGAAGGCGGCUUACUGGACUGUAACUGACGUUGAGGCUCGAAGGCGUGGGGAGCAAACAGG
Molecule: ribosomal RNA, 253 nt
Filed under: uncultured Eubacteriales bacterium
Lineage: Bacteria; Bacillati; Bacillota; Clostridia; Eubacteriales
Description: uncultured Clostridiales bacterium partial 16S ribosomal RNA
Rfam family: Bacterial small subunit ribosomal RNA
Source: RNAcentral